This 233-nucleotide ribosomal RNA is filed under the name uncultured Actinomycetales bacterium. RNAcentral's name for it is "partial 16S ribosomal RNA". It matches the Rfam family "Bacterial small subunit ribosomal RNA", at positions 97 to 334 of the family's 1533-position model. Lineage: Bacteria; Bacillati; Actinomycetota; Actinomycetes; Actinomycetales. The record is from RNAcentral.
GGCUAACGGGUGAGUAACACGUGGGUGAUCUGCCCUGCACUCUGGGAUAAGCCUGGGAAACUGGGUCUAAUACCGGAUAGGACCAUGCUUUAGUGUGUGUGGUGGAAAGUUUUUCGGUGUAGGAUGAGCCCGCGGCCUAUCAGCUUGUUGGUGGGGUAAUGGCCUACCAAGGCGGCGACGGGUAGCCGGACUGAGAGGUUGGUCGGCCACACUGGGACUGAGACACGGCCCAG